UGGGGAAUAUUGCACAAUGGGCGCAAGCCUGAUGCAGCCAUGCCGCGUGUAUGAAGAAGGCCUUCGGGUUGUAAAGUACUUUCAGCGGGGAGGAAGGGAGUAAAGUUAAUACCUUUGCUCAUUGACGUUACCCGCAGAAGAAGCACCGGCUAACUCCGUGCCAGCAGCCGCGGUAAUACGGUGGGUGCAAGCGUUAAUCGGAAUUACUGGGCGUAAAGCGCACGCAGGCGGUUGAUUGAGUCAGAUGUGAAAUCCCCGGGCUUAACCCGGGAAUUGCAUCUGAUACUGGUCAGCUAGAGUCUUGUAGAGGGGGGUAGAAUUCCAUGUGUAGCGGUGAAAUGCGUAGAGAUGUGGAGGAAUACCGGUGGCGAAGGCGGCCCCCUGGACAAAGACUGACGCUCAGGUGCGAAAGCGUGGGGAGCAAACAGG
RNAcentral lists this ribosomal RNA (429 nucleotides) under Chloroflexota bacterium. RNAcentral describes it as "Chloroflexi bacterium partial 16S ribosomal RNA". It matches the Rfam family "Bacterial small subunit ribosomal RNA", at positions 355 to 776 of the family's 1533-position model. Lineage: Bacteria; Bacillati; Chloroflexota. The record is from RNAcentral.